UACGUAGGGGGCAAGCGUUGUCCGGAAUCAUUGGGCGUAAAGAGCGCGUAGGCGGCCCUGUAAGUCCGCUGUGAAAGUCAAGGGCUCAACCCUUGGAUGCCGGUGGAUACUGCAGGGCUAGAGUCCGGAAGAGGCGAGUGGAAUUCCUGGUGUAGCGGUGGAAUGCGCAGAUAUCAGGAGGAACACCGGUGGCGAAGGCGGGUCUCUGGGCAGUAACUGACGCUGAGGAGCGAAAGCGUGGGGAGCGAACAGG
Molecule: ribosomal RNA, 253 nt
Filed under: uncultured bacterium
Lineage: Bacteria
Description: partial 16S ribosomal RNA
Rfam family: Bacterial small subunit ribosomal RNA
Source: RNAcentral